UACAUGGGGUGCAAACGUUGCUCGGAAUUAUUGGGCGUAAAGCGCACGUAGGCGGUUCGUUAAGUCGGAUGUGAAAGCCCUCGGCUCAACUGAGGAAGUGCACCCGAAACUGGCGAGCUUGAGUACGAAAGAGGAUCGCGGAAUUCCCGGUGUAGAGGUGAAAUUCGUAGAUAUCGGGAGGAACACCGGUGGCGAAGGCGGCGAUCUGGGUCGAUACUGACGCUGAGGUGGCGAAAGCGUGGGGAGCAAACAGG
This 254-nucleotide ribosomal RNA is filed under the name uncultured bacterium. Its description in RNAcentral is "partial 16S ribosomal RNA". It matches the Rfam family "Bacterial small subunit ribosomal RNA", at positions 524 to 776 of the family's 1533-position model. The record is from RNAcentral.